UACGUAGGGUGCGAGCGUUAACCGGAAUUACUGGGCGUAAAGUGUGCGCAGGUGGCCGCGCAAGUCGAGUGUGAAAUCCCCGAGCUUAACUUGGGAAUUGCGCUCGAAACUACGUGGCUCGAGUGUGGCAGAGGAAGGUGGAAUUCCACGUGUAGCGGUGAAAUGCGUAGAGAUGUGGAGGAACACCGAUGGCGAAGGCAGCCUUCUGGGCCAACACUGACGCUCAUGCACGAAAGCCAGGGGAGCAAACGGG
RNAcentral lists this ribosomal RNA (253 nucleotides) under uncultured bacterium. RNAcentral describes it as "partial 16S ribosomal RNA". It matches the Rfam family "Bacterial small subunit ribosomal RNA", at positions 524 to 776 of the family's 1533-position model. The record is from RNAcentral.